AUUGAACGCUGGCGGCAGGCCUAACACAUGCAAGUCGAACGAGUGGCGGACGGGUGAGUGGUGUCUGGGAAACUGCCUGAUGGAGGGGGAUAACUACUGGAAACGGUCGCUAAUACCGCAUACCAUCAGAUGUGCCCAGAUGGGAUUAGCUUGUUGGUGGGGUAACGGCGCACCAAGGCGACGAUCCCUAGCUGGUCUGAGAGGAAGAACCGCCACCCUGGAGCUGAGACACAGGCCAGACUCCUACGGGAGGCAGCAGUGGGGAAUAUUGCACAAUGGGCGAAAGCCUGAUGCAGCCAUGCCGCGUGUAUGAAGAAGGCCCUCGGGUUGUAAAGUACUUUCAGCGGGGAGGCGUUACCCUAAGAAGAAGCACCGGCUAACUCCGUGCCAGCAGCCGCGGUAAUUC
Molecule: ribosomal RNA, 406 nt
Filed under: uncultured bacterium
Lineage: Bacteria
Description: partial 16S ribosomal RNA
Rfam family: Bacterial small subunit ribosomal RNA
Source: RNAcentral